CUGGCCUCCAUCUUGAAAACGGAAAAUAAAAACAGCAGACCUAUGAAGGUCGAAGGGGAAGAAAAGCUGUAUCGAUUGUUGAGAUCUGGCGACUUGUUUAAAUUUCAUCAGCCUCACUUCUAUGAACUCUCAGAGCUGAUUACCAACUCCUACCACUGUUAACCCUCAUCCAGGAACAAGCUUAUGUCUUUAACAUUCUGAGUGGGCUUCAGCAUCCUUGCAUAUGUUCAAUUCUUAAAAACCUGUUGAAAUAAAAGAUCAGGAGACAUAGGAAGGAUGCCAGAAGAGAGCGUGGCCUCACGUGUACCAGCUCUCUGCUCUCCUUUGCCUUGGGACGUUCCAUCCCUGGAAGUUUCCCUGCCCACAUCUUUGUAGAGAGUCCAUUCUCCAAGCUUCAGUGUGUCAUCUGUGAGGACCGUGACCCACCUGGUACAUCGCCUCAGGGCAUUCAUUUCAGGCUCCUUCUAAAUGGCCAAGAGACAACACCAACAUUUUUGUAAUGGCCUGCAAGGCCUUCCGAGAUCUACCUCCUGCAACUCAGCUUCUCCUGUGCUCUCCUUCUGGACUCACUCUGCCUCAGCAACACUGGUCCCUGUUGCCCCACCAAUAUGCCAGGUAAACCUCAGGUUCUCCUCCUGCCUUUUGCUAAGUAUAUGUCUUGAUGACAAGCCUUCUGCUGAUGAGCUGUGUUUCUGGACCGAUCAUGGUAGAAGUCAAUUAACGUGUCCCUCACUUGGGGUUUCUCAAGGCUGCACUGAUGAGGAAACUGAAACAGAAAAUCCAGAGUAAAUUCCACCAGGCCACACAGCAAGGUCUGAUAGAGCCAGGAGAGACUUUAUGAAAUCCAGACUCUCACACUAAUGCUCUAUCAGCUAGACCUCCAUGUGAGUCUCCCCAAUGUAGGUAGGAAGUGCUUUCCCUAAAAUGCUCAUAAAGCAAAUCAGAGCAAUGCUGCAUUCCAUGUGAUUUCUAAUUUGAAAUGCAAACAAUUGCCAAUUUGUUUGACUUGUAUUUAUAAUUAUUUCCUUGUGAAUUACUCAUCACUAAAUGCUUUAUAAAUAUUUUCUCUUUUUUUCCUCAAUGUCUAUGGAAUGAUCACAGCAUAGAAAAUGUUGGCUUUCAAGGAUUUAUUAAUAUCUCCUUUUGAAAUAACAUGUAUUUGUAAGACAGAAUAAAAUCACUUUAAAGAAACAAA
Molecule: long non-coding RNA, 1195 nt
Filed under: Homo sapiens (human)
Lineage: Eukaryota; Metazoa; Chordata; Mammalia; Primates; Hominidae
Description: testis expressed 41
Source: RNAcentral